RNAcentral lists this ribosomal RNA (493 nucleotides) under uncultured Chloroflexota bacterium. Its description in RNAcentral is "bacterial SSU rRNA". It matches the Rfam family "Bacterial small subunit ribosomal RNA", at positions 97 to 607 of the family's 1533-position model. The record is from RNAcentral. Lineage: Bacteria; Bacillati; Chloroflexota.
GGCGCACGGGUGAGUAACACAUGGCUGACCUGCCCCCCAGAGGGGGACAACCACUGGAAACGGUGGCUAAUACCCCAUAUGCUCACGCGGAUUAGAAGGGUGUGAGGAAAGGCUGAGGUGCUGGGGGAGGGGGCUGUGGCCCAUCAGCUAGUUGGUAGGGUAACGGCCUACCAAGGCGAGGACGGGUAGGGGGCCUGAGAGGGUGACCCCCCACACUGGGACUGAGACACGGCCCAGACUCCUACGGGAGGCAGCAGUAAGGGAUAUUGCGCAAUGGGCGAAAGCCUGACGCAGCAACGCCGCGUGCGGGAUGACGGCCUUCGGGUUGUAAGCCGCUUUUCUGCGUGAAGAGGAAGGACGGUAGCGCAGGAAUAAGUCUCGGCUAACUACGUGCCAGCAGCCGCGGUAAAACGUAGGAGGCGAACGUUAUCCGGAUUUACUGGGUGUAAAGCGCGUGCAGGCGGUUCCGUAAGUCGUGCGUGAAAGCGCCCAG